ACAACCAAAAUUCUUAUUCAUUCUUCACAAAGUUAUACCCAACACAAGCUCCUGGGUUUACGAGUAGCGACAGAUAAAUAUAUAGUUUUGGUUGUCAGCUGACAAACAUACAUUACAUACAUUAUAUCAUAAGAAACAUAAGCCAAAAAAUAAAAUGCAAAAAUACAGAAUUCUUUCAGAAUUGGUAGAAAGGAAGAACAAGGGUUCAAAACUAUGCAAAACUGAUAAUGUACACAUUUCACAUGGCACAAUACAUGUAAUUUGUCCCGCUCAUGUAUGUAUUUUUCAAAUUGAAUUAGAUGCUAAUAUUUCUUUUCCCUAACUCUUCACUAUAUACGUAAACAAAUUACUGGACUCAUUUCCUAAAGGACAAAAAAAUUGUUGCAAGAAGCAUGCAUCUUGCUCAUGUUAAUUGAGUCUGGCCUUCUUCUCAGCCGCCUUCUCACAGAUGAAAAUUGCCCAUCUGAUGGAAAGCUUGUGAUCGGCCACAUAAGAACAAAGAGAAAUCCGUAAGUUCUUAUUUUGAUGUAGAAAAAGAAUUCCACAGUAUGGCCACUGGCUGAUGCUGUGAUGCGACAGGGGAAAGCCACAUCACUCAGUUUUCAAUCAGCUGCUCUUCUCCCGGCAAAAGCUACAACUACUUUAUCCCUGAUGACAAAUUCUAUCUUGGAGGAAAACCGGUUUGACGCAUCCGAAAGGGUCUCUCAUUACUAUGACGCCUACCAUCCAAUGGUGCAGCCCCAAGAAUCCCCAGUGAAUUAGGAUCCGUUAAACGGGUACCAUUACUCAUAGGUCUUUGCAAGGGGGGUUGAAGUUGGGGGUGCGUAUCAGCUUCAGCUCUUCUCCGCCGUUU
Molecule: unclassified non-coding RNA, 853 nt
Filed under: Hevea brasiliensis (rubber tree)
Lineage: Eukaryota; Viridiplantae; Streptophyta; Magnoliopsida; Malpighiales; Euphorbiaceae
Source: RNAcentral